GCCACAUUUAUUGUUAAACAGGGAAGGAAUUUUUAAAAAAGUUUUAAGAAUCGUUCGUCACUUCAUUUUUAGAAAUGUUCUACCUGUAUAUGGUAAUGUCCAGUUUUAUGGCUAUAAUACUCUAGAAGAAAAAAAUCCCUAAAUGGAUACAGAUUCCUAAAGUAAUAGUGGCAGCAGAUGUUUCAGUGAACUUUUAUCUUGACACUUUUAAAUAGAAGUAAUGCCAGAGCUGAAAUUUUUAAGGCACUUACAGCUUGUAUCGAAAUUAUUGGAGACAUGGUUUCUUCAUUAGCUAUUUUGAGAACUGUGGAGUUAUGCAAGAUUUUUAAAAAGUGGCACCAGGGGGCCAGUUGUGGUGGCUCACGCUUGUAAUCCCAGCACUUUGGGAGGCCAAGGCAGGCGGAUCACCUGAAGUUAGGAGUUCAAGACCAGCCUGGACAAUGUGGUGAAACCUCGUCUCUACUAAAAAUACAAAAAAUUAGCGGGGUGUGGUGGCGCAUGCCUGUAAUCCCACCUACUCGGGAGGCUGAGGCAGGAGAAUCCCUUGAACCUGGGAGGCGGAGGUUGCGGUGAGCUGAGAUCACGCCAUUACACUCCGGACUGGGCAACAAGAGCAAAACUCCGUCUCAAAAAAAAAAUGUGGCAUCAGGUACUAUACAUCUAGUUAGUUCCUUUACUCUGUUUUAUUUUUUAAAUGAAAGUAGGAUACAUCAUUUCCAGGACUGUCAAUAUAUUUGGGGCUUGUUUUUGGUAUGGAUUUGGAUGGAGGAUAUUAAGUAUUCAUUCAUUCUAAUUUUGUUAUUUUUCUAAUUGCCAGAGAUGGUUGCACUGAAAUAGAAACACAUUACAGGGAGUUGCAUACAAAGCCUAAAUGUGUACUGGAUUUUGAAAAUACUAGAUUGGUGCAGUUACUUUUGCGCCAACCUAAUAUGUCUUUAGGAAAGUACUAGUAUGUGGAAAGAAACAAUAGGUAUUAAAAGGUUUAAAGGAAUGAGAAAUAGGAAGUUGCUAGAACCUAACGGAUGUUGACUUUAAAGGUAAGAUUGUUCAGGUAUAUUAGUGGACAUCUAGUCCAAUGCUAUAGCAAAUUCCAGAGGUCUCAGGUGCAUGCAAUUCUACUUUCUAAAGAAAGUAAACACUUAGAAAAUAGAUUCUAACCCAGACAUUUGGAUUAUACUGAGAUAAAUAUGUAAAUAAGUUUUAGCAAGUCUGAACACUGACAAGCCAGGUCUUCAGGUUAACUAAGAAAAGCCCAGAAACUUCAUCAUUUACUGUGCUUUGUAUGCCAUAACUGGUAACAAGGCAGUAAAAUGAUACAUAUUUGAACUGGACCAUAGUAAUUAAAUGAUUUAUCAAUAU
This 1359-nucleotide long non-coding RNA is filed under the name Homo sapiens (human). RNAcentral describes it as "non-protein coding lnc-SFMBT1-1:1". The record is from RNAcentral. Lineage: Eukaryota; Metazoa; Chordata; Mammalia; Primates; Hominidae.